UACGGAGGGUGCGAGCGUUGUCCGGAAUCAUUGGGCGUAAAGGGCGCGUAGGUGGCGGGACAAGCGUGCGGUGAAAGCCUGGGGCUCAACCCCGGGUCGGCCGUGCGAACUGUUUUGCUUGAGCACUGUAGAGGCAGGCGGAAUUCCGGGUGUAGCGGUGGAAUGCGUAGAGAUCCGGAAGAACACCGGUGGCGAAGGCGGCCUGCUGGGCAGUUACUGACACUGAGGCGCGACAGCGUGGGGAGCAAACAGG
Molecule: ribosomal RNA, 253 nt
Filed under: uncultured bacterium
Lineage: Bacteria
Description: partial 16S ribosomal RNA
Rfam family: Bacterial small subunit ribosomal RNA
Source: RNAcentral